This 861-nucleotide ribosomal RNA is filed under the name uncultured Flavobacterium sp. RNAcentral describes it as "bacterial SSU rRNA". It matches the Rfam family "Bacterial small subunit ribosomal RNA", at positions 47 to 916 of the family's 1533-position model. The record is from RNAcentral. Lineage: Bacteria; Pseudomonadati; Bacteroidota; Flavobacteriia; Flavobacteriales; Flavobacteriaceae.
CUUAGCACAUGCAAGUCGAGGGGUAUAGUAGCAAUACUAGAGACCGGCGCACGGGUGCGUAACGCGUAUGCAAUCUACCUUUUACAGGGGAAUAGCCCAGAGAAAUUUGGAUUAAUGCCCCAUGGUAUUAUAGAAUGGCAUCAUUUUAUAAUUAAAGUUCCAACGGUAAAAGAUGAGCAUGCGUCCCAUUAGCUUGUUGGUAAGGUAACGGCUUACCAAGGCUACGAUGGGUAGGGGUCCUGAGAGGGAGAUCCCCCACACUGGUACUGAGACACGGACCAGACUCCUACGGGAGGCAGCAGUGAGGAAUAUUGGACAAUGGGCGCAAGCCUGAUCCAGCCAUGCCGCGUGCAGGAUGACGGUCCUAUGGAUUGUAAACUGCUUUUGCACAGGAAGAAACACUUGCUCGUGAGCAAGCUUGACGGUACUGUGAGAAUAAGGAUCGGCUAACUCCGUGCCAGCAGCCGCGGUAAUACGGAGGAUCCAAGCGUUAUCCGGAAUCAUUGGGUUUAAAGGGUCCGUAGGCGGGCUCGUAAGUCAGUGGUGAAAGCCCAUCGCUCAACGAUGGAACGGCCAUUGAUACUGUCUGACUUGAAUUAUUAGGAAGUAACUAGAAUAUGUAGUGUAGCGGUGAAAUGCUUAGAGAUUACAUGGAAUACCAAUUGCGGAGGCAGGUUACUACUAAUUAAUUGACGCUGAGGGACGAAAGCGUGGGUAGCGAACAGGAUUAGAUACCCUGGUAGUCCACGCCGUAAACGAUGGAUACUAGCUGUUGGGAGCAAUCUCAGUGGCUAAGCGAAAGUGAUAAGUAUCCCACCUGGGGAGUACGAACGCAAGUUUGAAACUCAAAGGAAUUGACGG